AUUGAACGCUGGCGGCAGGCCUAACACAUGCAAGUCGAACGGUAACAGGAAGAAGCUUGCUUCUUUGCUGACGAGUGGCGGACGGGUGAGUAAUGUCUGGGAAACUGCCUGAUGGAGGGGGAUAACUACUGGAAACGGUAGCUAAUACCGCAUAACGUCGCAAGACCAAAGAGUGGGACCUUCGGGCCUCUUGCCAUCGGAUGUGCCCAGAUGGGAUUAGCUAGUAGGUGGGGUAACGGCUCACCUAGGCGACGAUCCCUAGCUGGUCUGAGAGGAUGACCAGCCACACUGGAACUGAGACACGGUCCAGACUCCUACGGGAGGCAGCAGUGGGGAAUAUUGCACAAUGGGCGCAAGCCUGAUGCAGCCAUGCCGCGUGUAUGAAGAAGGCCUUCGGGUUGUAAAGUACUUUCAGCGGGGAGGAAGGGAGUAAAGUUAAUACCUUUGCUCAUUGACGUUACCCGCAGAAGAAGCACCGGCUAACUCCGUG
Molecule: ribosomal RNA, 490 nt
Filed under: uncultured bacterium
Lineage: Bacteria
Description: partial 16S ribosomal RNA
Rfam family: Bacterial small subunit ribosomal RNA
Source: RNAcentral